Molecule: long non-coding RNA, 1454 nt
Organism: Polistes dominula (European paper wasp)
Lineage: Eukaryota; Metazoa; Arthropoda; Insecta; Hymenoptera; Vespidae
Source: RefSeq, a predicted model, not a curated record
CUUCCUAUUUUUGUAUUUUCACAAUUUCGUACGUUUUCUUUUUUAUUUGUUUGUUUUUUUUUUUUCCUAGGUUUUCUAAAUGAUAUUUGGGAAUGUUUCAAAGUUCAUUUAACGAUUACGCGAUCGUACGUAUCGUUUCUUACAAAUAUUUUAACAAAGGGAGAGAAACAGAAAAAGGGAAAGAAAAAGAGAGAGAGAGAGAGAGAGAAAAAAAACAGAAGUAUCAUAAAGCGAGUAUCGAUUGAUGAUGUAGCAAAUUAAAAAAAAAAAAAAAGGUGCAUCAAAUUGUCAGAAUAAAUAUAAUACUUAGAGAUAUAUAUAUAUAUAAAAGAAAAAAGAGAGAAAGAGAAAGAAGAAAAAGGUACCACGCACAUAAACGAAGGUUGCCAUUUGGACUCAUUAGUGGAAUGAUUUGUCUGAAUGAGACAUCGUUGCUUACCUAUAAAUCUUAUUGUUUGUUUAGGUUAUGUUUGAGAUUCGCCAUUAGAAAAUAUUUCGUUAGUUUUCAUUAUCGUCCAAAUAUUUUCGGCAACGGUGAUAAUUUUGUUACAUUAUUUGUUUUUCUUCUCUCCACGAAAAUAACAUUUAUUGCACGUUAAAUAAUACACGGAAUGUCGUUAAGUAAACUGAACAAAAAGUUUUCUUUCAUCGUUCUUUCAAAAAUAAAAACCGACAAGUCCAAAGUAUUCCCUUACCUUCGCCAGGUAAUCCUCUAAUUAAAAGCAUAUACAUAUGAAGAAAGACGCGAACUUUUAGACAAAUUUUAUGAGCUUAAUAUCAGUCCUUCAUAAUUUCCCAACGUAUGAAAAGAUUAUAGGACAUUGGUACCGCAUUAGCACCCAUUCUAAGUCCGAAGACGUGAAAUUUGAGAGAGGAAGAAAGAAAGAAAGAUAAAGAGAAGAAGAAGAAGAAGAAAAAGAAGAAGAUACAAAAAGUAGUAACGAGAAAUUUACAAUAAUGAGACAGUGACGAUGCCUUGUACUGCUUGUAUGUUAAUCCUAUUAAUUCUAGAUAUUAAUAAUAAUAAUAAUAAUAAUAAUAAAAUAAUAAUAAUUAUAAUAUACGUAGUAGAAAAUAUCUAUUCGCUUUUAGGAUUAUCGAGUCGAAACGAAGUCAACGAAGUACACACCGAAAUUGGCACCCUGAGCUCUGGAAGUAUUAUACUUUUAAUAUUAGCUAUUCGUGAUUCAGGAUCUUCUGUAAUUCACGUUGAAACUUAACAAUAACACAGAGGCAACACACGAUAAAGAUCUCAAACCACUAUGGAUCGUAUAAAAUCCUGAAGUUACGGAAGCCUCGUCGGUGGUCGAUUGAACGGAACUCAAUGCACAAACGUCGCUAGCUGCAGAUGAUUCAUUAGUACCACUGAUAGCACCCGGGAAACUAGCAGUUUCUGAAGAAACAGCCGAAUUUUGAGCGGUAUGAGAAUAACCGAGCUCCAAACUUGACGUGGC